GCCCCCAUCGUCUAGCGGUUAAGGACAUCUCUCUUUCAAGGAGGCAGCGGGGAUUCGAUUUCCCCUGGGGGUA
RNAcentral lists this transfer RNA (73 nucleotides) under Pentalinon luteum. RNAcentral's name for it is "tRNA-Glu". It matches the Rfam family "tRNA". Rfam says of the family: Transfer RNA (tRNA) molecules are approximately 80 nucleotides in length. Their secondary structure includes four short double-helical elements and three loops (D, anti-codon, and T loops). The record is from RNAcentral. Lineage: Eukaryota; Viridiplantae; Streptophyta; Magnoliopsida; Gentianales; Apocynaceae.